This 253-nucleotide ribosomal RNA is filed under the name uncultured bacterium. RNAcentral describes it as "partial 16S ribosomal RNA". It matches the Rfam family "Bacterial small subunit ribosomal RNA", at positions 524 to 776 of the family's 1533-position model. The record is from RNAcentral.
UACGGAGGGGGCUAGCGUUGUUCGGAAUUACUGGGCGUAAAGCGCGUGUAGGCGGACCUGCAAGUCGGGGGUGAAAGCCCGAGGCUCAACCUCGGAACUGCCUUCGAUACUGCGGGUCUCGAGUCCGGGAGAGGUGAGUGGAAUUCCUAGUGUAGAGGUGAAAUUCGUAGAUAUCGAGAGGAACACCGGUGGCGAAGGCGGCCAACUGGACAGAUACUGACGCUGAGACACGAAAGCGUGGGGAGCAAACAGG